This 789-nucleotide ribosomal RNA is filed under the name uncultured Pseudomonadota bacterium. Its description in RNAcentral is "bacterial SSU rRNA". It matches the Rfam family "Bacterial small subunit ribosomal RNA", at positions 720 to 1500 of the family's 1533-position model. The record is from RNAcentral. Lineage: Bacteria; Pseudomonadati; Pseudomonadota.
AGCGGCCGACCUGGACAGAUCUGACCCUAAAACUUANCGAAAAGCGUGGGGAGCAAAACAGGAUUAGAUACCCUGGUAGUCCAACGCUGUAAACGAUGGGUACUAGGUUUGGUGGGUCUUGACCCCCGCCGAACCGGCGCUAACGCAAUAAGUACCCCGCCUGGGAAGUACGGUCGCAAGACUAAAACUCAAAGGAAUUGACGGGGGCCCGCACAAGCGGUGGAUCAUGUGGUUUAAUUCGAAGCAACGCGAAGAACCUUACCUGGAUUUGACAUCCUCUGACAACCUUAGAGAUAGGGCUUCUGUAGCAAUACAGCAGAGUGACAGGUGCUGCAUGGCUGUCGUCAGCUCGUGUGGUGACAUGUUGGGUUAAGUCCCGCAACGAGCGCAACCCUUGUCUUUAGUUGCCAUCAUUAAGUUGGGCUCUCUAAAGAGACUGCCGUGGUUAACACGGAGGAAGGUGGGGAUGACGUCAAGUCCUCAUGGCCUUUAUAUCCAGGGCGACACACGUGAUACAAUGGACGGUACAGAGGGACGCCAAGAAGCAAUUCGGAGCUAAUCUCAAAAAGCCGUUCUCAGUUCGGAUUGGAGUCUGCAACUCGACUCCAUGAAGUUGGAAUCGCUAGUAAUCGCGGAUCAGCACGCCGCGGUGAAUACGUUCCCGGGCCUUGUACACACCGCCCGUCACACCAUGGGAGCUGACUCAACCAGAAGACGGUCAGGAUAACCGAAAGGAGUCCUCCGGCGAAGGUGGGGUUGGUGACUGGGGUGAAGUCGUAACAAGGUAAC